GACGAACGCUGGCGACGUGCUUAACACAUGCAAGUCGAACGGUGAAGGGACCGGUUUUUGCUGGUUCUGGAUGAGUGGCGAACGGGUGAGUAACACGUGAGUAACCUGCCCCCUUCUUCUGGAUAACCGCAUGAAAGUGUGGCUAAUACGGGAUAUUCUGCGCCUGCUGCAUGGUGGGUGUGGGAAAGAUAUUGUUUCGGUGGGGGAUGGGCUCGCGGCCUAUCAGCUUGUUGGUGGGGUGAUGGCCUACCAAGGCGGUGACGGGUAGCCGGCCUGAGAGGGUGGACGGUCACACUGGGACUGAGACACGGCCCAGACUCCUACGGGAGGCAGCAGUGGGGAAUAUUGCACAAUGGGCGCAAGCCUGAUGCAGCGACGCCGCGUGAGGGAUGGAGGCCUUCGGGUUGUAAACCUCUUUCGCCAGUGAAGCAGGCCUGUCCCUUUUGUGGGUGGGUUGACGGUAGCUGGAUAAGAAGCGCCGGCUAACUACGUG
RNAcentral lists this ribosomal RNA (493 nucleotides) under uncultured bacterium. RNAcentral's name for it is "partial 16S ribosomal RNA". It matches the Rfam family "Bacterial small subunit ribosomal RNA", at positions 28 to 507 of the family's 1533-position model. The record is from RNAcentral.